This is a non-coding RNA of Prunus mume (Japanese apricot), 1693 nucleotides long. The record is from RefSeq and is a predicted model, not a curated record. NCBI's taxonomy places the organism in Eukaryota, Viridiplantae, Streptophyta, Magnoliopsida, Rosales, Rosaceae.
UAUUAAUUAGUGUACUGAAUGGUAAAUGACACUUCAAGCAUUUCCGAGAAGUUUAAGAAUGUGUUGUUACCAUUCAGAACACUAAUUAAUAACAACGCAUACAUUUCAUUCAAAACAGAAAAUACAAAAUAAAAACCAAAUCAUACCCCGAAAGCACCAUCUCCGACAACCAAGCAGCUAGUAGAUAUUGACUCCUUGUUAAUCGUAGAAAAUACUUCUCGCAAAAGAACUAGAGGUUCUCCCACUUCGCCUAGUUGCCUCUUCGCUUCGUAGAAGCCACUUUGAAGCCUUACUUCUCGGAGAUGCUUGAAGUUUCCAAUCUUAAACUUCGCAAAAACCGAUUCUUUUAUAUCAAGAACAUCUAGUUGUGGGGCAUCGAUUUCAACUUCAUAGAAGUUUCCAGCAGUAAGGUAACACUUCUUGUCCUCUAUCAAGCUGUAGCUUAUGAAGAUGCAGUUGAAUUUUUAGUCACUUUUUUUAGCAGCUUUUAGCAUAUUCUUCUGGUUGGUUGUUCAUGCCAUACUUGCUCGCACACCUUCCUAAUUUAUAGAGAUUGGAUCUCGAAUUGGUAGAUAUGGAAGAUGUUCGAAAGGGCAAGAAAUUUGAUUGGAAUCCCCUAAAAUAUUAUGUGGGAUGGUGUUUGACAAGCGUUAAACACGUUUGAUUGGAUUUGGUGAAAUAAUGGAAGAAGCCGGUAUAAUAUUAGCUUUUGUGAGGGGAACUGCUACCGAAGAACACUUUGGAAAAAUAAGCAUCACCAAUGAAUAAUUACCACAUGUGAUUCCAAUGUAUAGAAGAUGAUGCAGACUUGAUUUACAUGGCCUAAGAAAGUACACAGGAGAACUGAUCAUGAGGAAACACAAAUCUAUAUUGAUUGUACCAGUAUUUCAGACAAAUGGCACGACUGACAACUCUCACAUCAUUGAGGUGGUACAGCCAGCUGUAACGUUGGAGCAUAAUAAGAGUCUAAACAGCCCCUUUUCUAGGGAGGGAUGAGGUUGAAGGUGCCUUGAAUCAAAUGUUCCUUACCAAUUCGCCGGGAGUAGAUGGAAUGCGUGCUUUGUUUUAUCAGAAUUACUGGGAUAUAGUGGGUGAUGAUGUAGUGGCUUUCUAUCUAACUAUUCUAAAUGGGGGAGCCAGUGUGAAGGAAGUGAACCACACACUCCUGACUCUCAUCCCGAAGGUGCACAGGCCAGCGAAGAUUGAAGCCGAUCAUGCCUUUUAUUAUUUCCGAAUAUCAGAGUGUCUUUGUUCCUGGAAGGCUUAUCACUGAUAACAUUAUAGCGGCUUUUGAGAGUAUCCAUGCUAUGAAACGGCGGGGUGGAAGUAAGCUGAAGAAGAUGAUCCUCAAGCUUGAUAUGUCAAAAGCGUAUGACCGGGUAGAAUGAGAUUUUUUAGAAGCUAUGUUGAGCAGAUUGGGUUUUAAUGCCAGAUGGGUUAACAUGAUUAUGGAUUGUAUUUCUACAGUUUCUUAUUCAGUUCAGGUGAAUGGAGAACCUACGGGUAUGAUUGUGCCAACAAGGGGUUUGCGCCAGGGAGAUCCACUAUCCCCUUGUUCCUGAUUUGUGCUGAAGGGUUUAUUGGCGCUGCUGUCAAAUGCCCUCAGAUUGAAAUGUAUUAAGGGGGUUUCUGUGGUGCAGGGAGCUCCCAUUCUCUCCCAUUUAUUUUUAGCUGAUGACAGUUUACUUUUCUA